ACAAUAUCUCGAGGGCAGUGCCCGCAGGAUGAUGUUUAGGGAAAUAUAAUAAAAUUACAAUAAUAAUGGAUACUUCACAGUACAAAGCAACAUUUUAGGAAUGAUUCAACCAGUCUGAUUUAAAUCUUUAUGAAUUUCAUACAGUCUUUCCUGGCAAGUUAUGAAAGAUGAACUACUACAAAAUGUCCACUAUACAGCAAGAAUAAGCAAAUACUGACAUGAACACACUUGCUGGGGAUGCCACAGACAGCUUACUGAAACGCCAUAAACCUAUGGAAUUCUGGUACUUCGGUCCAGUGGUUCUGGCAAUUGUUAUGUUUCUAUUGAUGGGCACAAUCUUCGAGAGGAGGAUAGAAGCUCUCUAUCAUCGACUCAGUGAGUAUGAUGAUCAACCACCGCCAAGCGCAUUUACUACAACGUGAGAAUCACGACGAAGCAAGUGGACCAGGAAGUGGACCAGCCACUUCUGCGCAAGCGGCCAAAACUCCUUCACAAAGAACCUUAAACGGUGGCAAAGCUGCCAGCACUUCAGCCGAAGCCGCUCCACCGCAAAUACUAACAACCAACUAAUGUAUAAUGUAUACACUAUUGAAAACUGUUAUUCCAAAACUGCUAUACCUUAUCGACGAAUUACCUGACCCUCAGUACUUAAAAUGUCAGACGAUUUUAACCACUAUUAUAUGUGUGAACAAUGGCCUGGUACAUUAUGAAGCCAUGCAGGCCAACUUUUUCGAAAGAUGCCAGGUUAUAGCCCAGAGGUUCAAUGAAGUGGCUGAGCAUCUGCCAGAUUUUAAGUAUACUGAGAUUAAACUGUUUAAGACCAGUCAGACCGAAUAAAGGAUUGGACUACCUACCUAAUAAUGAACAUGACAUACUUAAAGUUCUGAAAACAUGCUAUAGAUAUUGAGUAUGCGUGAAACUUCGCUUGGGUAUAAAACGCACCCAAACGCCUCCAAAAAUGCAUUUAUGCCCGAAAUCGCUGCUCCUGAAUGCGCAUACGAAAUUCUACUAGAAAAUCCUCGAAUACAUGCCAGAAUCGAAAGC
RNA transcript from Helicoverpa armigera (cotton bollworm), 1044 nucleotides. RefSeq lists it as uncharacterized. The record is from RefSeq and is a predicted model, not a curated record. The transcript has 4 exons. NCBI's taxonomy places the organism in Eukaryota, Metazoa, Arthropoda, Insecta, Lepidoptera, Noctuidae.